Molecule: ribosomal RNA, 600 nt
Filed under: uncultured marine bacterium
Lineage: Bacteria
Description: bacterial SSU rRNA
Rfam family: Bacterial small subunit ribosomal RNA
Source: RNAcentral
AGAGUUUGAUCCUGGCUCAGAACGAACGCUGGCGGCAUGCUUCAGACAUGCAAGUCGAACGAGAUCUUCGGAUCUAGUGGCGCACGGGUGAGUAACGCGUGGGAACCUACCUUUUAGUUCGGGAUAACAGUUGGAAACGACUGCUAAUACCGUAUACGCCCUCCGGGGGAAAGGUCAGCCGCUGAAAGAGGGGCCCGCGUCUGAUUAGCUUGUUGGUAGGGUAAAAGCCUACCAAGGCUACGAUCAGUAGCUGGUCUGAGAGGAUGUUCAGCCACACUGGGACUGAGACACGGCCCAGACUCCUACGGGAGGCAGCAGUCGGGAAUAUUGGACAAUGGAGGAAACUCUGAUCCAGCAAUGCCGCGUGUGUGAUGAAGGCCUUAGGGUUGUAAAGCACUUUCAACGGUGAAGAUGAUGACGGUAGCCGUAGAAGAAGCCCCGGCUAACUUCGUGCCAGCAGCCGCGGUAAUACGAAGGGGGCGAGCGUUGUUCGGAAUUAUUGGGCGUAAAGGGCGCGCAGGCGGUUUGGAUAGUUAGACGUGAAAGCCCUGGGCUUAACCUAGGAACUGCGUUUAAUACUGCCAAACUAGAGAACUAGAG